This is a long non-coding RNA of Nicotiana attenuata, 1118 nucleotides long. RefSeq lists it as uncharacterized. NCBI's taxonomy places the organism in Eukaryota, Viridiplantae, Streptophyta, Magnoliopsida, Solanales, Solanaceae. The record is from RefSeq and is a predicted model, not a curated record. The transcript has 2 exons.
UUCACAAAAACCACACAACAACCCAUUUCCAUAGCCCAUAUCGUGCCAAAAUGCACCAAACCAACACAAACCCAUCAACUUUGCUUUGAAUUAACCCAAAUAAUGAGCCCAACCACCUCUAAACCCUACGCCUCUUUUCUCUUCUCUCUCAUACCAUUUUUUCGAUCGAUUUCAGCUCUUCUUCGACCAUGGCAGAGAAUUGUCCACUCUAUUUUCGUACAAAGGAUCCUUACUAUCUCUCUUCUCGAAGCAAGUCUUGUCUUCUUCCUCGAAGCGAUAAUCUGGUAAACUUUAACCCUUUUAAGCUAAAGUGAAUCUCUCCAUUUCGGGUGCUUUCUGAGGCAAAUCAUGUGAAGGCCUCAAACGUUCGGAUUCGAAAGACUCUUUGACCACAAAUUCAAAAUCAAAAUCAAGAAUUCCCGCUCAAGAGAACACCCUAGAUUUUUCACUAUAAAUACUUGCAUAUCGGACCACUUCUGGACGGGCUGGAGCCGCCACUCAAACAUUAGUGUAAACACUACUAUUUUCCUUACUCUUACCACUCUUCUCGUCCCUUAGAAACUUUUAGAAACAACUUUCAAACUUUUAUUUACUGUCGCGGCCUACUUUAGCCGCGAUAGAAGUGUUUGAGCCCAUUCGACUCGAGGUUCGGAUCUGUUCAUAACGAGAGAGUAGAUUCGAGGUCGACGCCCCGUUCACUGCUCACAAAAAGAGUUGCGGCGGGUCUUGUUCCGAGACUCAAUGUCGUUGCCUUGCCCGACACCAGCAUCCCGUCUUCACUCUUCUUCAUCCACUUCUCUUGCCUUCUCAUCCAAACAGAAAGCAGAGAGGCGAGAGAAGUUGGAAAAUUCAUCUCUUUCAUUUGUUGUGACUAUUGUAUUUGCUUUUGGUGCUACUCAUUCCUAUGUAGUAUAUAAUCUAGAAUGAUAUUUAUAUGGCAUAUGGGUAGUAGACCCUUAUGUAGCUGAGAAUUAAAUCAACUUUGUUUAAGUCCAAAAUGGAAGAAGUUAGGCUUGAAACAAGUUCCUUGCAAAUGUUUGAAAAAUCAAUUCAAACGUCCUGAAAUUCUUUAAAUUUUGAGUACGUUUUUUUUUCUAAAAAAUGGAUUUCUUAGUCAA